Molecule: long non-coding RNA, 599 nt
Filed under: Homo sapiens (human)
Lineage: Eukaryota; Metazoa; Chordata; Mammalia; Primates; Hominidae
Description: non-protein coding lnc-SETSIP-2:13
Source: RNAcentral
ACACGCGCCGCGCCCAGCCCGGAGCGCGCAGGGGAGAGCCGGGCCUGCGGGGUGCGGCGGGCCAGGCCGGGGUGCAGAGCUUGGCUGUCUUCCGCGGAGAGCGAGAUCCCGUUUCAAAAUCGCAAAACUGUGGGGGAGGAUGAAGGCGAGACUUUCCCAAACCAUCCUGGGCACCAAAGAAGGUAGCGCCACUCAGUCUUCUUUGUUGUUCUCAAUGUAUCAAGCAAAACUAUUUCUAAGCCCACAUAUUCGUGUGUCAUAGUUCAGGGACACAGGUCAGCGACAAACUUCCAUGCUAUUACACCCAAAGAGAUUCUUUAGAGUGCAAAAUCACUCUGCACUCUGAAAGAUACCAGCCUUCCUCUUCUCAAAAUCUUUCGUGGAAUCAUAAUUUCUGUAGAAAUCCGCCUAUGCCUUGCCUGGUUCAGCCACAGCAAACUUACAGAGAGCUGCAACCCCAGGGAUACAACGAAUGCUUCAACAACGUGACGCGGCAGAAGCCUGGCCAGAAGGCCACACACCUGAGAGUUCGUCGAAGGGCUGGAAGCCGUGAGAGUGACAGUCCUCGGGUUUCGCCGUGUUGGCUGGGCUGGUCUCCG